Molecule: ribosomal RNA, 173 nt
Filed under: Canthigaster valentini (Valentinni's sharpnose puffer)
Lineage: Eukaryota; Metazoa; Chordata; Actinopteri; Tetraodontiformes; Tetraodontidae
Description: partial small subunit ribosomal RNA
Source: RNAcentral
CACCGCGGUUAUACGAGAGACCUAAGUUGUUAACCCCCGGCGUAAAGAGUGGUUAGAUCCCCAAACACCAAAACUGAGGCCGAACACCCUCAAAGCAGUUAUACGCUCCCGAGGGCAUGAAGAACAACUACGAAAGUAGCCUCACCUUGCUUGAACCCACGAAAGCUAGGAUA